ACAAGUUCUUUGUUUUUAUUUCUACUUUCUCCUGCAUUUUGCUGCUGGAGGGGGUAGACAAAUGAAUACCUGGUACUGAGCUGCCUUCCAGGGUAAAGUUUAACACUGCUCUGUGGUGAGAUCUCUAAGACGAGCUGCUAACUGGACAAGAACAAUAAAAUAGCUUACUCAUUUCCAGCACCUUCUAAAACUGUAGGCUAUUUCAGAAUCUAUCAUACUGGGAGUCAAAUAGAAGUAACAACUGUUUAAGUCUCAUAAUAGCAUCUGAGCCUUCCUCCUCGAGUGCCGUGCUUCUCCUGUAAAGUUCGUCAGGAAGGAUGCUGUCCCAUCCAAAGAACUCCAAAACAGAAAUGAGAGAGAGGCACAAGAGAAAGUAGACAAAGAACUAAGACAGAAAUUUGGUAUUGUGAAAGAUAUAAGAAUACAUCUCAAGAGGAUAAAUCCCAGUGAACUUAAAGAAGAUUUUGACUAAGCUUCUACAUUUGAAUGGAAGUUUCCCAGGAAUGCUGCUUUCCCAUCCGAAGAAUCUCAAAGGAGAAUCAAGAAAGUAGCACAGCAGAAAGAAAACAAUGAACUAAGAAGGAAAUUUGGUAUCAUUAAAGAUAUAAUAAUCCAU
RNAcentral lists this long non-coding RNA (616 nucleotides) under Coturnix japonica (Japanese quail). RNAcentral describes it as "lncRNA (ENSCJPG00005013856.1)". The record is from RNAcentral. Lineage: Eukaryota; Metazoa; Chordata; Aves; Galliformes; Phasianidae.